ACGGCGUGUUUUUGGCCAAACUUCUUGAACACGAAAUUGGCGGAGUCUUGAUGGACAGAACGUUCGGAGGCCAUGCACAAUUAAAUCGAAACCCUGAUCGACUCCGACAAUAGCGACUGUUUUAAGCAAGGUUUUGUCGUUCUUCUUCUCCGCUCGUCGUAUAAACAACUACGGAUCCGCUUGAGCUCAUCUUCCAUGCUAUUGUUCAAUGAAGUAUCGGAAGAAGACGUGGUAUAUGAUAAAGUGCAGAUUGCGAAUUGGAUCAAGGGAAAAGAAAGCUAACUGUAUUUGAAUUCUGACACGGAGAAUCUCCGGUGAAUUGACAUAAUGAAAGAUGGUUCCUGAGUUCUUCCGGUGCAUUGUGUUGUGCGUUUCGACGCGUUGUGAUGACGAGUAGAGAUGGAGGCACGCGUUAUAUAUUGCGACAAAGACGCUGCGGCAUCCGCGGUUACGAAUCGAACGAGAUAAUGAUGAAGCCUCUGUUUGCGCCGAUGCGACUCGCGUCUUCCAGGAUGUUGUGAAUCGUUCGUAGUUUCGGAAGCGUGUUGGUCUUGUUGUGAUUCGGUUAUGGAGAGGGAGCGAGUUAUGGAGGAGAUUCUGUUAGGCGCGUGAUUGAAGGAGUUUGAGUGGAGGACGGUUAGAAGCGUUGAGGGAGAAGGAUGAAGAUUGAAGAAUUUCGUUGAAGGCAAUGAGAAAUGGGGUCUGGGAUUGAUGAUGGAUGGAGAAGAUGGAAGAAGAUCAAGCCCAAAAAAAUCUGAACUGUAAAGGAUUGUGACUUGCAAAAUUGGACAAGGUUCUCAUGUUGAUUAGUUUUGUUGGCUGUGAAUUAAGUGAGUGAAAUUCUGCAGGUUUUAUGUCAAUGUGUAGGUGAACAUCUUGUUGCUUGGGCUUAGUGGUCCUGUGUUAGAAUUAUGCAGGGGAAAUUCCUUCAGUUGUACAGGUCCUGGCCGGAUUUCACAAGAGAUGGUGGAUUUUACUUGUGUAUACAAAUGGUCUGUUAGAAUCAUUAGGAGUUAAUGAACAUAGGUUAUGGUUAAUGGAUGUAGUUAAUGGUUAAUGGAUAUUUGGUUGUUAACAAUGGAUAUUGGACUUUAAAUGG
Lathyrus oleraceus (garden pea) is the source of this 1099-nucleotide long non-coding RNA. RefSeq lists it as uncharacterized. Lineage: Eukaryota; Viridiplantae; Streptophyta; Magnoliopsida; Fabales; Fabaceae. The record is from RefSeq and is a predicted model, not a curated record. The transcript is spliced from 4 exons.